AAACGAACGCUGGCGGCAUGCCUAACACAUGCAAGUCGAACGAGACCUUCGGGUCUAGUGGCGCACGGGUGCGUAACGCGUGGGAAUCUGCCCUUGGGUUCGGAAUAACAGUUAGAAAUGACUGCUAAUACCGGAAUAAUGUCUUCGGACCAAAGAUUUAUCGCCCAGGGAUGAGCCCGCGUAGGAUUAGCUAGUUGGUGAGGUAAAGGCUCACCAAGGCGACGAUCCUUAGCUGGUCUGAGAGGAUGAUCAGCCACACUAGGGACUGAGACACGGCCCAGACUCCUACGGGAGGCAGCAGUAGGGAAU
Molecule: ribosomal RNA, 309 nt
Filed under: uncultured bacterium
Lineage: Bacteria
Description: bacterial SSU rRNA
Rfam family: Bacterial small subunit ribosomal RNA
Source: RNAcentral